ACGUAUUUAUAACAUUCAUUUGGUUUAUGCAACCUUUUUUCAAUGUGUGUUAUAACUUAUUAUAAUAAUAUUAUAAACAAUAUUAUGUAAGAAAAAAAUGAGGAAAAAACUAAUUAGCAAAAACAAGUAUAUAUGUAAAUAAAUACGUGCAUAUAUAUGUGAUAUAAACACAGUAAACUAUAAUAAAUAUAUAAAAUACAGUAAAGCAUAUAUAUAUAUAUAUAUAUAUAUAUAUGUGUACGUGUAUGUAUUAAUUUAACACUUUGAUCAGAUGAAACACACUUUCAUUAUAUUAUAAUUUAUUAUAUAUAUAUAUAUAUAUUUUUUUAAACAGUGUGUUUUCUUAUUAUUCAAAUUUUUAUAUUUAUGCGAAUUUCAAUAUAGGAAAAAAAAAGAAAAAAAAUGGAAAAAUAAGUAAAUACAUAAAUAUGUAUAUGUGUACGUAUAUAUAUAUAUAUAUAUAUAUAUAUAUAUAUAGACCUUUUUUAUGAAUUUAUAUUUUGAUAUGAAUUAUAUUAACAAAUAACAUCUUUAACAUAUAGCACUUUCACGUGUUUGUUUUAAUACUAACAAGAAUAGUUUAUAUGUGUGUAUAAAUAAGCUUACAUACACACAUAAAUAGGCACGUAUAUAAACAAUUUUUUUUUUUUUUUUUUUUUUUUUUUUUUUUUUUUAAUUUUUUUUUUGUUUUCUUCUUCUUCGUUUAAUUUUUCCAUACAUUUUAAAUUUUCAAACGUCAAUUCAACUUUAUUAUCUGAUUUGUUUAGUUCGUUGUUUUCUGUUAUAUUGGCGUCAUUUGUUACAUCUGAUUUAUUUUGUUCUAUAUCUUUAUGGUCAGACAUUACUUUCUCUUUUUCCCCUCCCUCUUGUUGUAGUUCUUCUCUUUCCGCUUUAACAAAUUCAUCAUUUUCAUCUUUUUUUAAUCUUUUAAUAUUUGUAAUUUCUGUAUUAUUUUCAUCAAUCGAAUAAUCUGAUUGUUCUUUAUUUUGCUUUUCGUCUUUUAUUUUAUUUUUACUAUCUUUAGGAGAGAUGUUUGAUGCUGAUGAUAAUUCAUUAUCCGUCUUUUGUUGUUCAUUUUCUAAAAUAUUCGAUUUAUUUAAUAUAUUAGUAUUACUAUUAUUAUCAUCAUUAUUGUUACUAUUAUCACCAUCAUU
This 1154-nucleotide long non-coding RNA is filed under the name Piliocolobus tephrosceles (Ugandan red Colobus). RNAcentral describes it as "lncRNA (ENSPTEG00000005888.1)". Lineage: Eukaryota; Metazoa; Chordata; Mammalia; Primates; Cercopithecidae. The record is from RNAcentral.